GUAUCAGUGGCGGAAUAGGUAGACGCAUAGUAUUACAACAGCUUGCGUGGUAAAGUACACGAAGAGUAUGGCGAGAUGCAUUUCGACUGGUGCAUUAUGCAAGGUUCAAAUCCUUGCCUGAUACA
This 125-nucleotide transfer RNA is filed under the name Caudoviricetes sp. RNAcentral's name for it is "tRNA-Cys". Lineage: Duplodnaviria; Heunggongvirae; Uroviricota; Caudoviricetes. The record is from RNAcentral.